Long non-coding RNA from Lactuca sativa (garden lettuce), 2455 nucleotides. RefSeq lists it as uncharacterized. Lineage: Eukaryota; Viridiplantae; Streptophyta; Magnoliopsida; Asterales; Asteraceae. The record is from RefSeq and is a predicted model, not a curated record.
UCACCUAAUUUAUAGUUUAAAACACUGAAUACCACCUUUAAUUAUGAGUCAAUGUUCAACUCCACUAGAAUCGGUCAAAGGCCCGACUUCUCCUUUAUCUUCGUCACCAUUGUUCACCACCGUUAUCUCCAUCCCGCAUAGAUCUUUAAAUUGUGGUUAUUGAACCCGGUGAAUAUUUAGGUUGAAUCAAUGUUAUUUUGAUUAUUCCAAUCGAAUAUUCCAACUAUGCUUUCUCCUUUGCCUACUUCAGAUGCUUAAUCACUAUGGAGUUAAAAAAUGGUAUAAAAAAAUCCCACCCCACAGUCUCUUCCUCCAAAUUCGGUAUCGGGUUAGAGUUGCUACUCUUUUGCUUUUUAUUUUAUUUCUCUAUCUAUCCAUGAAACCCAUGAUUACUUAUCUAUCUAUGAAACCCAUUAUUACUGGUGUUGUUACAUCCUUCCUCUCUAUCUCCCUCUGUUUCUUUGCAAAAAACAACCACCAUGAACUCCUUGGCCAAGUCCUAACAGUGAGCUAUGAAAAAAUGCAAUUUUUUUAAGUUUGGUUCUUCUUCUGUGUUCUUUCUUUGACUUUUGAUUUUGUGAUUUAUUUUCUUUAAAAUUUGUUUUAGUUGGACUUGUAGGUAAGAUCCAAAGAAAAGAAGAAGAAACUUAUUUAACAUUCGCACAUAAGGUGUUUGAUGUAAUUACUCAAAGAGUUAUUUGUUUGUAUUUUUUGUUUCUAACAGGAUAGUAACCUCUUUGGAAAGAGGUAAGUUUUUUUCUCUCUUUACUACAAACUCCAAUCAUGAUAAUCUCCUUCCAAAAUGACCUUGAUGAUUAUAAUUUGUUGAUUUGAAGUAGAGAAUAGAAAAUGUCUUUGGUCAUUGCAUCUAUCUGAUAGGAAUUGCAUCAUUUGUGGUGAAUACAUUAUAUGAUAUUAUUGUUUAGUGGUGACUUUGGUCAUGACAGAUGUCAAAACGUGGUGUUUGGCAGCUUCAAAAAUUUAUAGUGAGCUAAUGUAAUCUAUUUUCCCAUAAUUAAUUAAUGUACUUUACUUUUGAGAUAUUUAUCAGCAUUUUGGCCAACUGAUACAUCUCUCAGCAGGUUCACGAGAAAAAAAUGGUGUUGUACAACUCUCUCUCUCUCUCUCUCUCACCUUCUUCUUUUCUCUAACUAUGUGUGUGAUUACAAAACCUGAAAGCAAAAACCUUUUUAUUGAUUUUUGUCUUGGGCUUUUUUGGUUACAUGUAUGAUACAAUAUCUAUCAAUCUCUCAUGUUUAUGUUUUUUUUUCUUCUUACAGUCUAUUUAUUCCCCUGAUUUCUGAUCUAUUUCACUUGGAUCAAAUUUCCCUAUUCAAGUGGUAUCAACCAAUUGAGUGUCUUUCCGGGUUCUUACUUUAUACUAAUGUUUUAAAGUGGGCUAAACUAACUUUUUAUUUUUUUUAAAGAAACAAUUUUUUUUUUGCUUAUAUAGAUUAUGUCUUUGUUUGUUCGUAUAAUGGUCUUCAAAAGCAAUUAUGGUCUAUAUCUUAUAAUCCUUCUAAAUGUGGUUGUGGCCCUUUUAUGAGGUUGUGUGUUACACCCUUCUAGCUAUAAAAUUAUAAUUUUGUAUUUCUUUUUCAUUUUUUCCAAACAUUAUUGUAAUAAUUUGAAGGUGGACAUGGUGUUCUAUCUGAUACAAUACCAUAGAAAUAUCUUUGGGAUUCAAUAUCAAAAUUGCAUUCAAAAAAGCAUAAUUUGAAGAGAAGAUUUAUUACAUGAUCGCUAAACUUUGGUGCUUAAAUUGCUCAAAAGGAUGAUGUCAAGUAACGAGCAGGGUACGUCCAAUGUGAUUCUUGAGGUAUAAAGAUACAAUUACUUUAGUAAUAUGUGGUUAAAACAUAUUAUACUCUCACGACCAUUAUAGAUCAAAUAUUGGAUACUAUAUUGUUGUUAGAGUACUUGGAAAGGCAUUUAUCGCAAGCUAAAUUCCAAAUUACUAUAUCAUUUUUUUUCCAUAGAGUACUAAAUAUUAUAUUAUAUCUAAAGUAUAAACCUAAAUCCUCCAAAUAAUCAAUAAAAAUUUCCGGUUAAGGCUAAAUGCUGGAAAUAGCAACAUACUUUCGUUUUCUUUUGGUAUUAUUUUUCCCUUUAUUAGAUUAUGUGAUUGGUGAGUUAUUUUUCUUAUACAUGUUAUGUAAUUCGAAGCAAUUUUUCACAUGGUUUUUUGUUGGGAUUACACCAAAACAGGUUUAAUGCAAAAUAUAGUGACGUAGUGUUUUUAUUUCUAUAUUAUAGCAUUCUACUUUCUUCAAAGCUUUUGUAUAAUGUAUCAAUUUAUUAUCUCAUGAUGUAAGUAAAAAAAAACCAUAGAGUUUUUUAUUUGAAUGGGCUGGUGUUUUUGCGUCUUGCCUCAUUGAAAAAAUGUAAUGUUUUGUUAUGCAAAUGUUCGUUGACUCUUGUGGUCAGUCAUAACAUUUGUUGAAUUUACUGGUAA